Alnus glutinosa is the source of this 214-nucleotide long non-coding RNA. RefSeq lists it as uncharacterized. The record is from RefSeq and is a predicted model, not a curated record. The transcript is spliced from 3 exons. NCBI's taxonomy places the organism in Eukaryota, Viridiplantae, Streptophyta, Magnoliopsida, Fagales, Betulaceae.
AAGGAUUAGUGACUUACUUGGUGAGGGUUCUGAAUUUCCAUCCUUAAGUAACAUGACAGUCAUGAAAAGAUUGAUGUUGAGGAGCUGCAAUCUUUACGGACCAAUCUCCCCAAAUAUAUCAAAAAUGACAGUACUACAAACUCUAGAUCUCAGCUUCAACAGAUUGGAAGGAAAUGUUCCAGAUUUCAAAGAUCAAGCAUAUUUGGAAAUCAUG